UUAGCAAGAAUAUCCGCAGCCUUGUUACAUUGUCGGUUCGUCCAAACGAAGUAGCAUUCAUCAAACUUGUUUUUCCAAUAGCGAAUAUCUCUCAUCCAGUUGAAAGCUGCAAAGUUGGAUUGCUUUCCAUUUAUGAUCGCUACUACUUCUUUGUUAUCUCCCUCAAAAUACACCUUCUUAUAUCCUUUACUCCAGCAGCUUUGCAUUGCCAUGGUGAGCGCUUGAAACUCACUUUCUAGAGGGUUGUUUGUGACUUUACCAACAGCCUGGCCUGCCCCAAGGAAUCUACCAAAGUCGCUUCUUAAUAUCCAGCCCCCUUUGAACGUGAGAUCUCUGACGUAAGACCCGUCGUAGUUACACUU
This 362-nucleotide long non-coding RNA is filed under the name Arabidopsis lyrata. Its description in RNAcentral is "long non-coding RNA (ALYR_LNC000458)". Lineage: Eukaryota; Viridiplantae; Streptophyta; Magnoliopsida; Brassicales; Brassicaceae. The record is from RNAcentral.